CCCCGCCCCCCCCCGGCUCCGCCGCUCCCAGCCCGCCACAGCCCCGCCCGCGGGCGCCCCCGCCGCGCUCCGCUCCGGUCCGCUCCGCCGGCAGCCCGCUGGCGAGGCGCAGGAGCGGCGGUGGAUCCGCCGCUGGGAGCGGGGCUGGGCUCGGCGCUGGGAGCCGCAGCCAGCUCACGCAGUCGCAGGGAAGAGGAGCAGCCGGGAGCGGCGGCGGAGGCGGGAGCCCGCCCGCCGCCCGAGCACGGCGCGGAGGAUCGGCACAUCCCCGUUCCACCGGGGGCGGCUCUGCCGCCCCCCCCUUCCCCUCCCUCUCUCCCUCCCUCCCUCCCUCCCCGCCCCUCCGGAGCGCCAUCCCUGCGAGUUUCCCUCGCUGCCCGUGCCGUCGCCGGGCGCCCGCCUCCGCAUCUCGCGCGCCAUCAACUCCGGGAGCCGCCGGCGGAGGGCAGGGGCCCGAAGUUACCGCCAGCCCGGUGGAAAGUAGCGGCAAGGGGAAGGGAUCGGACGCCAGCACAGCCCGGCCCGGCCGGAGGGAGCUGGCGCAGCGCGCCGCCACCCGCAGCUCCCCGGCCGGAGGCUGGCCCCGGGCCGCGCUGGCCGGGGCAGAGCGACGCGGCCCCGCGGCAGCUGCCGGCCGCCCCGACCCGCGCCGGACCCGCUGCGAAAGAGCCAACAUGCAAAGUAGAAGGAAACCCGAAACUGUUCUUUUAACAAAAAAAAAUUGGCUUUCUGCCUCCUUCGCAUGUUUCCUUUUUGCUUCAUAACGGAAAGAGCAGGAUUACCUGAAUCACUGAGGCAAAAUCUGGGCAUCAUUAGCUGAAGAUAAGAUGAAAGAAGACUUGAAAAUAUGUCGAUGCUCCAUGACUAUUAAUUAAGACACACCUUUCACUAACAGAGGGGAAUAGUGGUAAAAGCACUGCAGUUUCAUCAAAAGGAGCUAAUGGAGGAUCUAUGUUGAUUAUUAUUUUUAUUUUAAUUUAUUUUUUCUUCCCACUCUCCCAUGAGUCCUAAAAGAGAAAGAUAGAAAGAGUGUAUGUGGAAAUUGAGAUAAGGUGAAGGCUGAAGACAGUAACUUCAGUUUUGGAGUCUCUUUUCCCAGUGCUGUGAAUUCCCUGUUUCAUCAAAUAUAUAAUUUAUUUAAAACAAUGUGUAAUAAUUUUGUGAUCAGUGGAGUUUUGUCAGCUCCAGAAGUGGAAUUUGACCUCAUGGAAAGCUUUUUAAAAAAGUAAAUGUAUGCCUCCAAUUUCUUCUUUUCAAGUUACUGGGCAUUGUGAACCAGUGUUUUAUAUGCAUGUCCUAGAGAUUUUACUUUUUCCCUGAUUUUAAUAUUUAUGUAUUUAGAUUUAGUGUUUUGUUUGAGAAAACUGUGACCAGACAAGGCACCUGAGAUUUGAGUUUUCAAGAGCCUUGUUAUUUCAAUAUUGCAGCUCUGAUUACUGACUGUCUGUUACAAUGCACAGUACACACUAAAUCUUUUCUCCUCAAAAUAUGCCUUAAGAUGUUCACUUUUGUACUAACUGGAUCAAAGUUUGAUAACUGAACAUUGUGUUUUGUUAGGAAAUGCAUGCCUGGGGAA
This is a long non-coding RNA of Falco tinnunculus (common kestrel), 1576 nucleotides long. NCBI's taxonomy places the organism in Eukaryota, Metazoa, Chordata, Aves, Falconiformes, Falconidae. The record is from Ensembl.